This 1350-nucleotide long non-coding RNA is filed under the name Anas platyrhynchos platyrhynchos (common mallard). RNAcentral's name for it is "lncRNA (ENSAPLG00000027782.1)". Lineage: Eukaryota; Metazoa; Chordata; Aves; Anseriformes; Anatidae. The record is from RNAcentral.
GUGGGGAACUCUAUUCAGUGCAAGGUCACUCCCGCACCUCCUGACAGUACCUAUUGAAAUAUCAUUCUGGUCUUCAGGAGAACAAAUUCUCUGCCCAAGCAUAAGGUAGGUGUGAUGGGGCCAGACAGAGGUGUCAGCAUCCAAACUGGUCCUUCCCAUCAAGGGGAGAGGAACAGGAUGGGACUUGUUCACUGCUGCAGUGGACAUUUAAAUUGGGGUGGAUGAAUUGCUCCUAAAGGCACUCCUUUGUCUCACUUGGCUACAGUGGGAGCCUGGGGAACAGCACUGAGGUGGAGGUGACAGCAAACAUCCAAGGAGCUGAACCCCGAUGGCAGGGAUAGCUGCUCUCUGGGACUGCCCACAUCUCUCUGUGAGGACUCCAGCAGGUAACCAGGGCUCCCCGGUGCUCAGUGCACGGCUCCUGGAGCUGGUAGCUAGGGCAAGCAGUACAGAUGAAAGGAAACCAGGCUGCUUUAAUUCAUCCCACGGUCUCGGCUCUCCUUAAAUCACCAAUCUGUACAGUCAACCACAGCCUGCCUGCACAUUCAUAUAAAUCAAGCCUGAACAAAAUAUGGACAGAAGAGCUGAGUUUCAUGCACUAAUUCAAGAAGCAGCCUGGAUGAGAGAAUGUGAAAUUAAAAUGCAUCCUUCCCCCAGCUCCCUGUUUCACCCCUCUGUCCCAUUCCAGCAGUAAACUCCAGCACAGCCAGCAUCCCAUAACCAGGGGCAAGGUGUGAUGGGUGGACCCAGGCAGCACAGCCAAAAUGCAGAAAUGUCCCCAUCGCCUCCAGGCUCUUGAUUUGUGUGGGUGGGGAGCUGUCGUGUGAGACAGAUGAGAGCUUCAUGAUGAGGGCCAGUUCUGUUGCGAGGGUCAGUGCUAUUUCGAUGGCUGCAAGAUGCUCUAAUUAUAGUGCUGGGGUGGCUGGAGGCUGCCAGGAUAAACAGCCGAGGAAGCCCUGCAGCUCACUCGAGCUCAGUGCCAUUGGUGUCUCUUCCAGAGGGCUCAGGCAAGUACAUGACUUUAUAUAUACUGAGCUAUUUUUCUCUGCUACCUGCUCCAUGCUCUGCUUUGCCUCACUGCAAAACCACAGCGGUGUUGCGCUUUGGUGUUACGGGUUCUCUAGCAGCUUUUCCCUUGGGUUUUAUGCUCUGAUUUCUCCUGGUGUGCUGUCUCGGAACAGCCAAGAGAAGCAUUUGGCAGUAGCUUCUCAGAGCUGUCCCCUGCCCCGGGGUCCCUGCGGGUUGUGGGGUGAUCAGUCAGACAGCCCCAGCGCUCAGCUCUGCUGCUGGCUUCUGCAGGGGCCUCGGGCAAGUUGCUUUGCUGCCUGCUGCCUCAGUGUCCCCUGCUGA